Paramuricea clavata is the source of this 974-nucleotide non-coding RNA. The record is from the annotation of a GenBank genome assembly. Lineage: Eukaryota; Metazoa; Cnidaria; Anthozoa; Malacalcyonacea; Plexauridae.
CUCCUUUAACAAAUCAAUGCCAGACAAUGCAGGUGGUUGUUUAUUGACAGAACUAAGAAUAUUCUUCAUUUCUUCUGCAGUUAUGGCAACAUACCUAUAACGAAGGUUAAUAUGACAAACAUCAUGCAAAAAUCGACGACCCCUCCAUGUAUACAACAUUUCUUGUCUUAAAAGAGAUAUCUUCCUUCAUGAAGUUUUUAAAAUGGAAAUGACAAUUUUUUGGCAUAGCGUGGAAUUCACCAUAGCGUGAAAUUCAUUUUUCUCAAAAUCUAUCUUUUUCCACUGUCUUUUUGAAUCCAUCUUUCACUGUUGUUUGUAAGCAACAAUUACACCACUGUAUACCGAAUCUCAGUUAGCAAAAUUUCUGACUUUUUCUCUCGUGACAAGCGUUCUAAACCGCAUACAUCAACAGGUAUUUAACUUCUGCAGAACGUUUUUUCCACUUCAAUGUUCUUAUUACAAACCAAAUAUUUCCCACUUGGAAAUGCUUAAAGCAUACAAACAAUAACGAAACAAGAAAACGCCUUUAAAUAUAAAAUAAGACAAAUGUGCUAAUCAUCUGGUUUGUUUUUAGAAUCCACCACGCGAUAAUCCCGCGUUGGCGUGUACUACACGCUUGCUUUACUGUGUGUAUGCACCAUAGAAAUAAUAGAUAUAGAAUGCGUACUCCUAUCUUUUCUCAGUGAAAAAUUUGUCUCCACAAAAUGGCGGAUUUAUAAGGGCAUUUUGGUUCCCAGACUCCCAGGGGGCAGGGAAUUUCAGUGGGAAUUUCGCGCGGUUGCAGAGAGCAGUGCUCUCACUUUUAAGGAAUUAUCCUUAAAAAUAGGAAUUUUGAAGAGUUUUAAGGAUUUUUUUAAGGAAUUUAGGUUUUUGAGGAUUUUUUUAAGGAAUUUCCGAAACAUUUUAUCCUGGACUAAAAACGUUGGACGGAGGAUAACCACGCCACGCAAAUGAGAUUUAAACUUGAAAGUAGC